CAAGCCGAAGAGGCUACUGCAACAAUUAUUUAGACAGAAGUCUGGUUCUGGUACUGAGAUGCCUCGGCCAGAGAGGUCCCACGAGAGCAAUUUCGUGUCCAAAGGAAUUUUGCCGGUUCACAGAACAUCAUCGUCUUCAUGUACUACCAGAGCGAUUCAAGAGGCUGAUGUCGAGCCUAAACCUGUAGCUUCGAUUCUCUACACACUUGUAGAAGCUGGUCCUACACCAUCAGCGGCUUGGGGGCAAGCCGCAUUUUAAGGAGUGGGGAAUGUUAGCUCCGCUACACAGGAAGCACAGAGGAUGCGUCGGCGUCAAGCAAGGAGUUGUUGUCAGCAAAGGAAACUGACGACACGAGCAACCUAAAGACAGAUAAGUUUUUGCAUCAGAAGCAGGCCAUGUCGCAGCAGAUAAGUUGCCAAACGGUGCUGUUGAGGUGCACUCUCUACCUAAAGAUGCUUCCGCAUUUGAUAUGUUACCUUCAGCUGAGGGAAUAGAUGUUGAAGCCCCUUCCAUGAGUGCUAAUGCACAAGGUUCAUCAACGCCAGAUGCCAAUGAAGAUGACAUUGAAAAAUAUGCAGAUUUGGAAGAGGACAAUACAGAAAGCUUGAUAUCUCCUGGACAAGUUUUUGCUUCUGGUAAAGAUAUACAAUCAGAAUAUACUGCAGUUGUCAGUCAUGUGGAUGAAGGCUCGAUAGAGAAAACAGAUGACUUUCAGCUCAAUGGCCUUCCAUUUGAGCACAACCAAAAUCUGAAUGGAGAUGUGUCUACAGCGACAACACUAUUUGAUCAUUUCACUCUGCAUGGGGGACGCCUUCUAGGCAAGUACUAUGAGAAUGUCAUGGGGAUGCUGCGACAGUUCCUGAUGAUGAUUCAAUUGACCAAUCAGAUGGCAGGAUCCAUGACGAUGAAGGCAAGGUGACAUUAGGUACUGAUGUUAAUGAAUAUGUUACUUCUGCGGCAAACAACAACGAGGAGAAUCUUGAUAUUACAUCAGUACAGCAAUCUGAAGUCACUAGAGCUGAUUUCUUGGAUGUCACAAGCAAUACUGAAUACAACCUAACAUCAACUCUAGAUUAUGCAACUUCAAGUGCACUGUUGCAAGAUUCUCCUUACAGAGUUUACAGGAAAACCGACAAUUCCAGAACAUCUCUCCUUUCUCAAGCUUCAUGUUCAUCACACUCCACGCCGCCGCUGCCUCGACCAGGAUGGUGUCGAUCUCAUGGAGGACGUCCACCUAAGUCCCAAGAACACCCACGCCCAAGCCCUUCUAGGCAAGUACUACGAGAAGAAGGGGCUCAUCGCUGAAGCUUGGGAAUCCUUCAAUCGACCCAGACCAUGCCAUGAGUCAUCUUUGUUGACCUUACCCCCACCUCUUAGCGAGAGAAUUCUUGUGAUUUUCUUGAUUUUUGUUGUUCGCCUGUUCAUGUUUGAUGUCACUAAUUUUAUUUGUUGUUGUUGUUGUGCAGAUUUGAGAUCGAGCGAAGCUAAGCUUUUCAUCAAGAUGGCGCUUUUUCGACUUGUGGUGUGGCAUGUCAUGAUGGCCUCAAAUCAUCAGUGUUACAGGUGGCCACCACAAGCGAGGGGUCUGCUUCAACUUCUUGACAGAGACAGAUCGGAGGCUUUCUUGGCAAUGGAAAGUUUUGUUGGUAGUAGUAUUAGCUUUAUAGGGGGACAUGUCAUUAGGGUUGAUCUUGUGCUUUUGAGGCCUUGCUUACAGGCACGGUACUACUGAAAUAGUUAGCAAAAGAUGGCAAUACUGAUGUAAUCCAGAAUGUAGCAGUACAUAUCAACUGCCGUCUUAGUUUCAGUUCAUGAAGUGAAUAAUGCAUACCAAACUAUGUCCCAGUUCAAAGCA
Molecule: RNA transcript, 1856 nt
Organism: Zea mays
Lineage: Eukaryota; Viridiplantae; Streptophyta; Magnoliopsida; Poales; Poaceae
Exons: 6
Source: RefSeq, marked validated